RNAcentral lists this ribosomal RNA (497 nucleotides) under uncultured bacterium. Its description in RNAcentral is "partial 16S ribosomal RNA". It matches the Rfam family "Bacterial small subunit ribosomal RNA", at positions 28 to 507 of the family's 1533-position model. The record is from RNAcentral.
GAUGAACGCUGGCUGCGUGCUUAAUACAUGCAAGUCGAACGAACAGACGGGGAGCUUGCUCCUCUGACGAUGGCGGCGCUCGGUUGAGUAACAUUUUGACACCCUACCUAUAAGAAGGGUAUAACUUCAGGUAACCGGCGCGUAUACCACAUAAUAUAUUGAACCGCAUGGUUCAAUAGAGAAACAGGAUUUUGCUGUAACUUAUUGAUGGAUCCGCGGCGCAUUUGCUAGUUGGUAAGUUAACUGCUGACCAAGGCAACCAUGCGUAGCCGACCUGAGAGGGUGAUCGGCCACACUGGAACGGAGACAAGGUACAGACUGCUACGGGAGGCAGCAGGAGGGAAACGGGCGGAAUGGGCGAAAGAUUGACGGAGAAACGCCGAGGGAGUGAUGAAGAUCUUCGGAUCGUAAAACUAUGGUAAUAGGGAAGAAAAAACGUGUAAGUCAAGAGGCAGGUCUUGACGGUACCUAAUCAGAAAGCCACGGCUAACUACGUG